AUGGAAGCCCCAGCGCAGCUUCUCUGCCUCCUGCUGCUCUGGCUCCCAGGCUCCUCUGGAGAAAUUUCCUGACACAGUCUCCUGCCUCCCUGUCACUUUCUCCCGGACAAAAGGCCACAGUCUCCUGCAGGGCCAGUCAGAGUCUUCGCAACAACUGGUUACACUGGUACCAGCAGAAACCUGGGCAGGCUCCCAGGCUCCUCAUCAAAUAUGCAAACAACAGGCUCGAGGGCAUCCCAGCCCGCUUCAGUGGCAGCGGGUCCGGGACAGACUUCACACUCACCAUCAUCAGCCUGGAGCCUGAGGAUGCCGCCACUUACUACUGUUACCAGAGUAAUAGUUACCCUCCCACAGUGACACAGGCCUGAACAAAAACCACCCCGGUGCCUGGUUCCUCUGGAGAGAUUGUAAUGACACAGUCUCCAGCCUCUCUGUCAUUUUCUCCAGGAGAAAAGGUCACGAUCUCCUGCAGGGCCAGUGAGAGUGUUAGCAACUACAUGGCCUGGUACCAGCAGAAACCUGGGCAGGCUCCCAGGCUCCUCAUCUAUCGUGCAUCCAGCAGGCCCAAUGGCAUCCCAGCCCGCUUCAGUGGCAGCGGGUCUGGGUCAGACUUCACGCUCACCAUCAGCAGCCUGGAGCCUGAGGAUGCCGCCACUUACUACUGUCAGCAGGGUUAUAGUCACCCUCCCACAGUGACACAGGCCUGA
Non-coding RNA from Condylura cristata (star-nosed mole), 707 nucleotides. NCBI's taxonomy places the organism in Eukaryota, Metazoa, Chordata, Mammalia, Eulipotyphla, Talpidae. The record is from the annotation of a RefSeq genome assembly.